Molecule: ribosomal RNA, 497 nt
Filed under: uncultured bacterium
Lineage: Bacteria
Description: partial 16S ribosomal RNA
Rfam family: Bacterial small subunit ribosomal RNA
Source: RNAcentral
GAUGAACGCUGGCGGCGUGCCUAAUACAUGCAAGUCGAGCGAACAGACGAGGAGCUUGCUCCUUUGACGUUAGCGGCGGACGGGUGAGUAACACGUAGGUAACCUACCUAUAAGACUGGGAUAACUUCGGGAAACCGGAGCUAUUACGGAAAAAUUUUCCGACCCACAGGUUUCAAUGGUAAAAUUGGCUUUUUGUUUACCUAAUGGAUGACCCGGCGCCGUAUUAGCUAGUGGUUAGGGUAAGGGCUUACCAAGGCAACGAUACGUAGCCGACCUGAAAGGGUGAUCGGCCACACUGGAACUGAGACACGGUCCAGACUCCUACGGGAGGCAGCAGUAGGGAAUCUUCCGCAAUGGGCGAAAGCCUGACGGAGCAACGCCGCGUGAGUGAUGAAGGUCUUCGGAUCGGAAAACUCUGUUAUUAGGGAAGAACAAACGUGUAAGUAACUGUGCACGUCUUGACGGUACCUAAUCAGAAAGCCACGGCUAACUACGUG